AUGUGCUACUGGUGUAGGAGGGGCCAACUUCUGCAGCCCGACCACCGCUCGCCAUGGUGCUGCAAGCGUCGCUGUCAUCGCCUCGCUAGAGCUGCAAUUCAGCCGUUGAGCUGCAAGUUCUUCUCUCCUCAUUUCCCUCUCCAACUGGUCCUCUCCCCGCCUCCCUACGACCUCUUGAAGCCAUGGCCGCCACUCGAGCGGGCAUGCCCGAGCUCCGCUCCGGCCUCCCUUCUCCCCUCAAUCAUUGUUCGGUCCGGCGCCGAUGCUUUUUUAUACUUUUCCACAACAAGGGCCUUGUUGCAGAAGUCCACCCGCAACAUUAUCUCUGUUGCGGAAAUUUCUCGAUUCACACCGACAUCAUCCUUUUUAGUGAAAAAAUUCUGCAACAUUAUUCAUAUUGUGAAAGUCCUCCUGCAAGACUAUGUGCAACUAGACCCAAUAUGCACCAAGCGUGUCGUGUGUUCUCUUCAACAUAGAUGGUCGUCCAUCCAAGAGGCCGUUACCAAAUUUGUUGGUUAUUUCAAACAAGUUGUAAGCCGGAACCAAAGCGGCAUUGGAGUUCUAACCCAUGCAACUUUGACGACGGCUUUGUACCAUCAAGUGGAGAAGAAGUCAUUCAUUUUUUUUCAUUGUUGGAUGAAAUUAAAUGGGGGGCCCAAGUGGCAGAACGUCCUCAAGGAAAUUGAGAAUGGCAUGAAGAAAAUGAAGAAAAACGAUGGGUCGAUCUCAGCUCAAUCAAUUGGAGUGGACGAGGAAGGGGAAGAAGAAAAUGUUGCAUCCGACUUACAACCAACCGUGCCAAAAAGAAACCGGUGGCGCGUGAAGAUGCGGCGCGUGAAGGUGCGACAAGCAAAACAUCCGCCACUUGGACGGGCAUUUUUUAUGCCAAGGAGGAGAGGUAGAAGAUGUUCAAUGAUGUGCAAAGGGAGAAGAUGA
RNAcentral lists this ribosomal RNA (936 nucleotides) under Triticum aestivum (bread wheat). RNAcentral's name for it is "partial small subunit ribosomal RNA". Lineage: Eukaryota; Viridiplantae; Streptophyta; Magnoliopsida; Poales; Poaceae. The record is from RNAcentral.